This 2931-nucleotide ribosomal RNA is filed under the name Enterobacter sp. E20. RNAcentral describes it as "bacterial LSU rRNA". It matches the Rfam family "Bacterial large subunit ribosomal RNA". The record is from RNAcentral. Lineage: Bacteria; Pseudomonadati; Pseudomonadota; Gammaproteobacteria; Enterobacterales; Enterobacteriaceae.
GGGUUGUGAGGUUAAGCGACUAAGCGUACACGGUGGAUGCCCUGGCAGUCAGAGGCGAUGAAGGACGUGCUAAUCUGCGAAAAGCGCCGGCGAGGUGAUAUGAACCUUUGACCCGGCGAUGUCCGAAUGGGGAAACCCAGUGCAAUUCGUUGCACUAUCGUUAACUGAAUACAUAGGUUAACGAGGCGAACCGGGGGAACUGAAACAUCUAAGUACCCCGAGGAAAAGAAAUCAACCGAGAUUCCCCCAGUAGCGGCGAGCGAACGGGGAGCAGCCCAGAGUCUGAAUCAGCUUGUGUGUUAGUGGAAGCGUCUGGAAAGUCGCACGGUACAGGGUGACAGUCCCGUACACGAAAAUGCACAGGUUGUGAACUCGAAGAGUAGGGCGGGACACGUGGUAUCCUGUCUGAAUAUGGGGGGACCAUCCUCCAAGGCUAAAUACUCCUGACUGACCGAUAGUGAACCAGUACCGUGAGGGAAAGGCGAAAAGAACCCCGGCGAGGGGAGUGAAAAAGAACCUGAAACCGUGUACGUACAAGCAGUGGGAGCACCUUCGUGGUGUGACUGCGUACCUUUUGUAUAAUGGGUCAGCGACUUAUAUUCUGUAGCAAGGUUAACCGUAUAGGGGAGCCGAAGGGAAACCGAGUCUUAACUGGGCGUUAAGUUGCAGGGUAUAGACCCGAAACCCGGUGAUCUAGCCAUGGGCAGGUUGAAGGUUGGGUAACACUAACUGGAGGACCGAACCGACUAAUGUUGAAAAAUUAGCGGAUGACUUGUGGCUGGGGGUGAAAGGCCAAUCAAACCGGGAGAUAGCUGGUUCUCCCCGAAAGCUAUUUAGGUAGCGCCUCGUGAACUCAUCUUCGGGGGUAGAGCACUGUUUCGGCUAGGGGGCCAUCCCGGCUUACCAACCCGAUGCAAACUACGAAUACCGAAGAAUGUUAUCACGGGAGACACACGGCGGGUGCUAACGUCCGUCGUGAAGAGGGAAACAACCCAGACCGCCAGCUAAGGUCCCAAAGUCAUGGUUAAGUGGGAAACGAUGUGGGAAGGCACAGACAGCCAGGAUGUUGGCUUAGAAGCAGCCAUCAUUUAAAGAAAGCGUAAUAGCUCACUGGUCGAGUCGGCCUGCGCGGAAGAUGUAACGGGGCUAAACCAUGCACCGAAGCUGCGGCAGCGACGCUUAGGCGUUGUUGGGUAGGGGAGCGUUCUGUAAGCCGUUGAAGGUGUCCUGUGAGGGGUGCUGGAGGUAUCAGAAGUGCGAAUGCUGACAUAAGUAACGAUAAAGCGGGUGAAAAGCCCGCUCGCCGGAAGACCAAGGGUUCCUGUCCAACGUUAAUCGGGGCAGGGUGAGUCGACCCCUAAGGCGAGGCCGAAAGGCGUAGUCGAUGGGAAACAGGUUAAUAUUCCUGUACUUGGUGUUACUGCGAAGGGGGGACGGAGAAGGCUAUGUUAGCCGGGCGACGGUUGUCCCGGUUUAAGCAUGUAGGCGGAGGUUCCAGGUAAAUCCGGUACCUUUUAACGCUGAGGUGUGAUGACGAGGCACUACGGUGCUGAAGUAACAAAUGCCCUGCUUCCAGGAAAAGCCUCUAAGCAUCAGGUAACAUCAAAUCGUACCCCAAACCGACACAGGUGGUCAGGUAGAGAAUACCAAGGCGCUUGAGAGAACUCGGGUGAAGGAACUAGGCAAAAUGGUGCCGUAACUUCGGGAGAAGGCACGCUGAUAUGUAGGUGAAGCCCCUGCGGGUGGAGCUGAAAUCAGUCGAAGAUACCAGCUGGCUGCAACUGUUUAUUAAAAACACAGCACUGUGCAAACACGAAAGUGGACGUAUACGGUGUGACGCCUGCCCGGUGCCGGAAGGUUAAUUGAUGGGGUUAGCGGCAACGCGAAGCUCUUGAUCGAAGCCCCGGUAAACGGCGGCCGUAACUAUAACGGUCCUAAGGUAGCGAAAUUCCUUGUCGGGUAAGUUCCGACCUGCACGAAUGGCGUAAUGAUGGCCAGGCUGUCUCCACCCGAGACUCAGUGAAAUUGAACUCGCUGUGAAGAUGCAGUGUACCCGCGGCAAGACGGAAAGACCCCGUGAACCUUUACUAUAGCUUGACACUGAACACUGGUCCUUGAUGUGUAGGAUAGGUGGGAGGCUUUGAAGCGUGGACGCCAGUCUGCGUGGAGCCGACCUUGAAAUACCACCCUUUAAUGGCUGGUGUUCUAACGUAGACCCGUAAUCCGGGUUGCGGACAGUGUCUGGUGGGUAGUUUGACUGGGGCGGUCUCCUCCCAAAGAGUAACGGAGGAGCACGAAGGUUAGCUAAUCCUGGUCGGACAUCAGGAGGUUAGUGCAAUGGCAUAAGCUAGCUUGACUGCGAGAGUGACGGCUCGAGCAGGUGCGAAAGCAGGUCAUAGUGAUCCGGUGGUUCUGAAUGGAAGGGCCAUCGCUCAACGGAUAAAAGGUACUCCGGGGAUAACAGGCUGAUACCGCCCAAGAGUUCAUAUCGACGGCGGUGUUUGGCACCUCGAUGUCGGCUCAUCACAUCCUGGGGCUGAAGUAGGUCCCAAGGGUAUGGCUGUUCGCCAUUUAAAGUGGUACGCGAGCUGGGUUUAGAACGUCGUGAGACAGUUCGGUCCCUAUCUGCCGUGGGCGCUGGAGAAUUGAGGGGGGCUGCUCCUAGUACGAGAGGACCGGAGUGGACGCAUCACUGGUGUUCGGGUUGUCAUGCCAAUGGCACUGCCCGGUAGCUAAAUGCGGAAAAGAUAAGUGCUGAAAGCAUCUAAGCACGAAACUUGCCCCGAGAUGAGUUCUCCCUGACCCUUUAAGGGUCCUGAAGGAACGUUGAAGACUACGACGUUGAUAGGUCGGGUGUGUAAGCGCAGCGAUGCGUUGAGCUAACCGAUACUAAUGAACCGUGAGGCUUAACCUUACAACGCCGAAGCUGUU